GUUUUAUUCGUACUGUUUUAAAUCAUUCAGUAAAUGCAAAGUUAAACUGAUGUGUUUUUAAUCUAGAUUUAAAAGUGUCUACUGUUGAAACACAUCUGAUCUCUUCUGAAAACUGAUUCCAGCUAAAGAGUGAAAUGCACACGGUGAGGAAUGGACCCAGACCUUCAGUGCCAGACCUCUGACCCGUUAACCUCCAUCUCGACAGCCAGCGCCUUCUCCGGCUCCCAUUGCGGUAUCGCUUCUCUGCUUUUUGGAUAAGAUCAAGUGGACACCGGGGACUACAAGUUUAAAUGGAUUUUUGACCUUCGGAAAUGGAAGCGAGGCUUGCUCCGUCCACUCCAUGCAUCGACUCGGACGCUUUCCGGGCACAAAUAAGUUUGCGGAGGUGAUACCAGGACGAAUUAAACAGCCUCGACACAGCUGAAGGUGCAACAAAAUCGAACGAGACAGUUUGGGAUGUUAAAAACACCUGAAAACUUUUUUUUUCACUACCCUUCAUACUACAGCUGUCAAAAAACCACAGCAACGUCGACACGCCUGGAAGCAUAGCUGUAUUUGUUUAAGACAACGGGUCAAUUAUGACUGAAGAAGAGGUCACCAAAUGAAGACCACAGCCAGGUGACGGGAUUCUGUGGUAAUCACAAACAG
This is a non-coding RNA of Misgurnus anguillicaudatus (oriental weatherfish), 648 nucleotides long. The record is from RefSeq and is a predicted model, not a curated record. NCBI's taxonomy places the organism in Eukaryota, Metazoa, Chordata, Actinopteri, Cypriniformes, Cobitidae.